CGCGGGAUGGAGCAGUGGUAGCUCGUUGGGCUCAUAACCCAAAGGUCGUUCGUUCGAGUCGGGCUCCCGCAA
Molecule: transfer RNA, 72 nt
Filed under: Prevotellaceae bacterium
Lineage: Bacteria; Pseudomonadati; Bacteroidota; Bacteroidia; Bacteroidales; Prevotellaceae
Description: tRNA-Met
Rfam family: tRNA
About the family: Transfer RNA (tRNA) molecules are approximately 80 nucleotides in length.
Source: RNAcentral